AAAACGGCCCUCGGGGCCCGGGACUGUACCAGAAAGUAAGCAUCGGCUAACUACGUGCCAGCACCCGCGGUAAUACGUAGAAUGCAAGCGUUGUCCGGAUUUACUGGGUGUAAAGGGUGCGCAGGCGGAGAAGUAAGUCANAGGUGAAAGCCUACAGCUCANCUGUAGAACUGCCUUUGAUACUGCUUCCCUUGAGUAUGGUAGAGGUCGNCGNAAUUCCCGGUGUAGCAGUGAAAUGNGUANAUAUCGGAAGGAACACCAGUGNNGAAGGCGGCCGGCUGGACCAUAACUNACGCUCAUGCACGAAAGUGUGGGGAUCAAACAGGAUUANAUACCCUGGUAGUCCACACUGUAAACGAUGUAUGCUUGGUG
This 372-nucleotide ribosomal RNA is filed under the name uncultured Bacteroidota bacterium. Its description in RNAcentral is "uncultured Bacteroidetes bacterium partial 16S ribosomal RNA". It matches the Rfam family "Bacterial small subunit ribosomal RNA", at positions 448 to 822 of the family's 1533-position model. Lineage: Bacteria; Pseudomonadati; Bacteroidota. The record is from RNAcentral.